AAAAUACUUUAUGCAAAUUACCAACUUCACUGGGCAGGGUUUACCACCAUGUAAGUUCUCAAAUAUUAUUUUAUUCAAAGAUAUUUAAAGCAUAUUUAAUUUAAUUAUACCUAUUUUAAACUAUAGAAAAAAUUACUUAAAAUUUUUGCCAUUAAAAUAAUUACAAAAUUUAGACUUUUAUUCAAGGACUAGAUUACUUAGGACAAAAAUCUUUCCUAUUUAAAAUUCAUACCUUGUAAAUUUUAAUUUGUAUAUUCAUGAAUAACUCUGGACAUUUAUACUUUUUUGUUUCCUCCUUAUUAUAAAUCGUUCAGAAUUACUAGGUAUUGGUUUUAAGAGUUCUACAUUGUAAUUGAAAGAAAAAAUUACUUGAGAGAAUAAUUGUUUCAGAAUGGUGCCUGUUAUUGCUGUGUCAGUGAAAGAUUUGUCCAGAGUUUUAGAUACAAACCAGUAUUUUGUGGAGUUUUCUUCAGCCACUAAUAGUCCAUCCUGGCUGAAACUGAAUAUAUCAGAUUUAACAUAGGUGCAGAAUUCUGACUAACACUGUGAAAUGUGAUCUCCACUGCCCUGCAGGACUUUCUGAAACUGUUACACUGCCCAGUGUGCAUUUAAUGAACGGCUGAUCGUUUCCAUACUUAUCUGAGAUGCUGAAAGUUCUGCUUUCCACAGCUCUUCCUUGCAAAAGUGGGUUUGUAUCAGUGCACCUGAGGGGAAAGAUUUGCAUUUAAAAAAAGAAAUUCCACUCUGAAAUUUGGAUUUGAAAGAUUGGAAUGUAGAGAGGGUGUCUACAGUGUUUUUCUGCAGCACCAGGUAGUCAGAUCUAUUCAUAGUAACUCUCAUCGCAGAGUAAAAUUUAAAAUGAAAUUUUCCACGUUGGUAUUUUGUAGGAAUGCUCUUAUAAUCCAGGACUAAGCUGCUUUUUGAGGCUCUUGUUGUACAGAGGAUGUAGCCAAUUACAUUUUAAUUGGUGGGCUGUUUAAUAAUGUUUUUAUAUGUUUUAAAAUAUUUAUUUUAAUAAGUUUUUAACAUUAUGCAAACCCCUGUAAAGAACUGACAAGCUCUAUAGGUCAUUGAUCUGAAACGGAGUCUAAAGACACAUUUUUAUGCUGACUAAUUUGUUUUGCCUUUAAAACUGCUUAUAACUACAGUCAUGCGCCACAUAACGACGUUUCAUCAAGGGCAGACCACAUGUACGACCGUGGUUCCAUAAGAUUAGUGCCAUACAGCCUAGGUGUGUAGGAGGCUAUACCUAGGUUUGUGUAAGUACACUCGAUGGUGUUCCCACAAUGACAAAAUCGCCUAAUAAUGUACCUCUUGGAAUGUAUCUCCAUCGUUAAGCAACUGUUUGCUGUUUCUUCUAGUGUACAUUUUAUAAAGCAAAAAAACAAAACAAACCCCCAAGACUAUAUGUUCUAUAAAUAAUAGGAUAAAGAUCCACGUAAACCAGUCUAAAGCUUUCUCAGUGAUGCAUAGCCGUCUGUCCAGUCAUGUUUUUAUCAAAUUUUGCUACUAUAAAAAGAAAUGGAAAUAGAAUGAAAAACCCAAAGUUACAGAGCAACAUCAGUAGAAUGACUGACUAACCGUUUUCUUAAUAACGUGUUUGAAAUGGAAAAAGUGACCAACUGCCUUUUACUGGAGUCGUGAAUGGCUGUAUCCUGCCCAGUCUCUAUUUUGGGAAAACUUCUUUGAGAAAUUGGUUUGUUAAUGUUCCUUUUAAUCCUUUCCUGCUAAAGGACAAACACGUGUAAAGAGUUUGACAGACUUUUAAAAUAUGCCUCUUUCCCAAUUUUAAGUGUUUUUGGUUCUGUGUAUAUGAAUUCGUCAGUGAAGUUCAUUUGCUCCUGAGUUUCUAUCACAAGGAGAGAAGAAACAAACAUCCAACACAAAUGUGUUCCAAACAGUCGUCUCCAUCUUCCGGCACCCGUAUGCGACUGCCUCGCCAAACAAGAAGAUGCACUACAUAGAGCAAUAAGAGUGAAAGUAAGACUAAUUCAGAUGAAGCAAGAAAAACCCUUCUGCAUACAGAGUGGAAGUGUGUGAUUUCAUUCCUGCCUUCCUUUCGAAGUUCUCUCUCGAUCUCUGCCUAGGAGUGGUUGAGCAUCGUUACCCAAAUGUGAGGAGGGUCCCUCAUUUGCCUUCCCUGGGUGAGAAUAGAAUGUGGUGUUCUGUGCUUUUUGUUUUUAUUAUUCCAAAAUAUUUUUUUAAAGAAGUGUUAUUUUUCAACAGAUCCAUAAAUUAGUUCUUGUUGUAUGGUGAAUUUAAACUACCACUGUGUCAGUUACACUGUGAUGUGAUAAUUUCAUAACCACUCAUUUCUAGUGUCUGUCCUCAGAGCUGCACUAGUGGCUUAUUGCUGGGUUUUAAAGAUGUUUUUAACUUACAUAUAAAU
Molecule: long non-coding RNA, 2389 nt
Filed under: Equus asinus (donkey)
Lineage: Eukaryota; Metazoa; Chordata; Mammalia; Perissodactyla; Equidae
Description: lncRNA (ENSEASG00005027901.1)
Source: RNAcentral